GGAAUUUCAACCCGGAUGACACAGCACUGCCAACAGACCCUCGGUCUGAUGAAGCCCUACUAUUGCUCUGCCUCAAAAACACAGCAUAUAGGACAGCAGAUUGACAAGAGUUCUUCCUGAGAUGAUGGCUCAUUGGGAAAGAUCUUCCUUAGCAGCCGGUGUCACUAGCAGUGAGAUUUAAGAUUUUGGUGAAGAAGACAAGAUGAGCCUUCAGUGGGGUAAGAAUGUAAGAACUAUCUGCUGCAUCAGACCAAAGGAGAGGCUCCAACUAGGGACAGUCCCUGAUUUUUGUUAUCACUCAGUGGUAAAUCACUGGCUUACAGACAGUGCAGCAUCCAAGAGGGAUGCGGGCGUUGUGGCUGUGCGUGGACAUCAGUGACAGGGAAGACAUGACAGCUGGAGAGCAGAGUGGUGCAGUGUUUUUGGUUAAUCCAUUCCUUGAUCCAGGCCAGCUCUUGAAUGGUGCUGUAGGUUCUUUUAGUCCAGUUCUGUGUUAGAGGUGGGGCUAACAAACAACCAGCAGCAAGAACACUGAAAGCAGUCUUCACUUGCCUCUCUGUAAAUAAUAUUGGUUUCUAUUUCUAUAUAGAACAUCUUUGUCCCACUAUAAAUGUUAAAGAGGAAAUGAGGGAAGCCUUGGCUAUUGAGCAAGUGUGUGUUUUUUCAUUUUCUCUCGCCUGAUUAUGAGAUCUGUAAUAGGAUUGGUUGAUAUGGGUACUGUAAUAGGAUUGGCUAUUUGCUGUUAGUCUGCUGAGUCAUGAUGCUUAUCUACUGUAUGCUUGCUUGCUUCAACUACUAGAACAUAGCACUGAAGCUGAUGUGUUACAUUGAAACGUUUGCUGGUUCUGGGCAUCUCUUUUUAUGUUUUAUGCAUUAAAGGAGGUCUUUGAA
Molecule: long non-coding RNA, 891 nt
Organism: Hemicordylus capensis (graceful crag lizard)
Lineage: Eukaryota; Metazoa; Chordata; Lepidosauria; Squamata; Cordylidae
Exons: 3
Source: RefSeq, a predicted model, not a curated record